This 466-nucleotide ribosomal RNA is filed under the name uncultured bacterium. RNAcentral's name for it is "bacterial SSU rRNA". It matches the Rfam family "Bacterial small subunit ribosomal RNA", at positions 355 to 825 of the family's 1533-position model. The record is from RNAcentral.
UGGGGAAUAUUGGACAAUGGGGGGAACUCUGACCCAGCCAUGCCGCGUGCAGGAUGAAGGCGUUAUGCGUUGUAAACUGCUUUUAUAUAGGAAGAAAUAGUCCUUGCGAGGAAAGUUGACGGUACUAUAUGAAUAAGCACCGGCUAACUCCGUGCCAGCAGCCGCGGUAAUACGGAGGGUGCAAGCGUUGUCCGGAUUUAUUGGGUUUAAAGGGUGCGUAGGCGGUUUAUUAAGUCAGUGGUGAAAGACGGUCGCUCAACGAUUGCAGUGCCAUUGAUACUGGUAGACUUGAGUAUGAUUGAGGUAGCUGGAAUGGAUAGUGUAGCGGUGAAAUGCAUAGAUAUUAUCCAGAACACCAAUUGCGUAGGCAAGUUACUAAGUCAUAACUGACGCUGAGGCACGAAAGUGUGGGUAUCAAACAGGAUUAGAUACCCAGGUAGUCCCUGAGCGGGCUGGCAAGGCGCAU